Molecule: long non-coding RNA, 1817 nt
Filed under: Daphnia pulex (common water flea)
Lineage: Eukaryota; Metazoa; Arthropoda; Branchiopoda; Diplostraca; Daphniidae
Description: uncharacterized LOC124198143
Source: RNAcentral
UAGGAACGUCACCAAUUGACUUAAGUCAAAUUUUGACUUAAGUCAUGACUUAAGUCAAAUUUUGACGUAUACGUCGACUGCGACUGAAAUAAAAUUUAUGCGUGACUUUUACGAUGACGUUUGACGUGAAAAAAAUUUGUAAUCUUAAAAAAAGUCAAAAUAAAAACGUCAUCUGGCAAUGUUGACGAACAAUGCCGAGGAUCGGAAGAUUUUUUCGUCUGUAAUUUUCGUAAAACAUAUCAGUUGUCAUCAAAAGUCAUGACAAUGGCGUCUACUACUAUAGAGAAAGAUUCGUGGACUGAAUCUGGUGUCUUUAGUUUUUUUAAUUUCACUCAAGCCGUUAUUAAGUGUUUUACUAUUGACACAUCUCUUACUCGUCUUGAACAAAAGGAGAAGAAAGCUUUAUUGGGAACUGAAUUCGUAGCCGGCAAGUGCAAAACGUGUGGCUGGGAGUCAAAGGUGCAUUUUGGAAAUCCCUCUAAUUGGGUUCGCCAUCUUAAGCUUCAACAUGGUGUAGCUUUCGAUGCUUAUAAAGAGGCUAUGGCAAACAAAAAAAAAAGACAGAAAGAGACGUCGGUCAGCUGAUUCCUCUUACUUGCCGACUAAUAAAAAGGCCAGACAGCCACAAGAAACAAUUGAUGUAGCACUUGAUCUAAACACAAUCUCUAGGAAAAAAGAAAAGAUAGAAAAGGCUAAACAUUUAGAACAAGAACAUCAACUUCGUGUAGACAUGCGUAUUUUUCAAUAUGUUGUUGGUAGUUGUCUACCUUUGAGUACAGUUGAGAACAUUCUUUUUCGAAACGUCUGCACUGAAAUUAAUCCCAAAGUGAAUGUGGUGUGUACUAAAACGUUGAAGAAAACUAUUUUGCAACAAUAUUUAAACUAUAAAGCUAGUUUGAGGAAGAGGUUCAGCAAUGCAGUGGAUGUUUGUUUAACGGCUGAUGCGUGGGGAUCGAAAAGACGAAGUUUCUUGGGCGUAACAGCACAUUGGCUUGAAAGUAAAGGAGAAACGGGCGAGAUGACAAGGUGUUCUGCUGCUCUUGCUUGUAAAAGAUUUCUAGGAUCGCAUACAUACGAAAAAAUUGCGGCUUUGCUCAACAACAUUAUGGACGAUUUCAGUCUUCAUGGGAAGGUUAACUAUGUAGUGACCGACAAUGGAUCCAAUUUUGUUAAGGCCUUCACUGAAUUUUCCGUUGAGAAUCAAUUGACUCAUGAUGAUGUGGAUGACGAUCCUGAAUUGAAUGAAUGAAUCAACGAGUCUACUUACAUCUUGGGCCAAUACGUGACCGAGUCUUAGAGAAAGUGGAUAAAAGAUUUGGUAAACUCUUUGAGGAUCCUUGGUAUUUGAUGGCAGCACUUACUCAUCCGUGCUUUAAGGCACAUUGGAUAAAAGACAGAAGGAGCCAAGAAGAAGCCAAAAUAAAACUCAGGCAGCUGAUCCAGGACUCUACGUGUUCACCAGUUUUGGAAAAAAGCAAAACAUCCUUAGCCGAAGAGUUUUUGCUGUUUGAUGAAAUUCAACCUUCAGGCAGACCGGAUGACGAGGUAGACCGAUUUUUAAAAGAUCGCGACACCUCUAUAGGAAUGCUUGAUAAUUAUCCACAGAUUAAAUCUUUGUUUGUAAAAUAUAAUACUGUCAUUCCAACUAGCGCUCCAGUAGAGCGUCUUUUUAGCUUAGCAGCAUUAAUUUUAACAAUAAGAAGAAAUAAGUUGUCCGAUUCAAUGUUGGAAAUGUUAAUAUUUCUAAAAAUUGCUUUAAACUUGUAAAAACCACCUGUCAAAUAGCGUAAAAAUACAUGACUUAUUUUGUGACUUAA